Molecule: non-coding RNA, 1817 nt
Organism: Phoenix dactylifera (date palm)
Lineage: Eukaryota; Viridiplantae; Streptophyta; Magnoliopsida; Arecales; Arecaceae
Source: RefSeq, a predicted model, not a curated record
UUCCACAGCAUGCAAUUAAGGAAACCUUCCUCUUUCUCUGGUCUUCUCUUAUCUUUGCACAUACAACUUGUCUAGUGAGUGAAGAGAUGGAAGGGAUGGCAAAUGCAAGAGAUUUUGGUGCAGAGUAAAUUGGUUUGUUGCUGAGCUAUUCAGUACUUAACCUGCCUUACCUGUUAAACCUUUCUGAGCAUUUUGGACUGCCUAGUUGCCCUUUUGAGCCUAUUCGGCUCUUUAUGCAUCAGGAUGGGUUCUCGGCAUUUUGGGCUGUUUGGUUGCCCUGUUGAGCCUAUUCGCCUGCUUAAGCAUCUAGAGUAGGUAUAGGUCUCCUAAGUUCCUAGGCAAGGAAACAGGUCCCCAUGGAGCUGCUUGGGCUAGCAAUUAAAACAGUAUGGUUUCUUUAAUGUCUGUCCAAUGUCUACAUCAUUUACUCUUGCUUUCAUCCUAAUCCCUGUUCUUGGGUGAAGGAACUCUUAGUUGCACUGCAGGUAACUUGGUUCUGUGAAACUUCUAUCCACUACGUAGUCUGCAUUAUAAUAUUCAUUUAUAACAUUGUAAGUUUAACCUUCUACAGGUUCUUGUAAUGAGAGAACUUCCUCUUCCACAACUUUGAUGCUGAAAGUAUCAAAUUUUAUUGGAGACAUCUAUGGAUUGAAAAGAAAGAAAGAUUGGAAAGAGAAAUGGAGAUAAAGCGGGUUACAGAGGAACUGCUGGCUCAAGCAAAACAUUACCCUUGCUGAGACAUCCUAUUUUGGUUCUUUUCCUUUAAAAUUUUUGUAUGCUUAAAUAAGAGUUUCCUGGAAGAGUGAUCCCUGAUUGCCACUAAAUGCUGGUAAUUAGCUCACAUAGGUUGUUCUGUUUCCUAACUUCAUGCUUGGAUUUGCAUGAUAUAUCAGCUUUUCAAUGCUAUCAGACAGUCUGAAGAACAUAACUUCUGUUUCCUUUAUGCCUGUCCACCUUCUGCUUGUUUUGUAUAAGACAAGACAAGGGUGUAACUGAUACAUAUCAUGCAUGAUAAAAUGUUUGAUCUGGGAAAUUAUCAUGUGGUGAAUUUGCUGAUAGGAACUAUAGUCUGUCAGGGCAGGUGGUGAAAUUUGCAUUGGCUACAUGCUUCACCUACCUGACAUGCUUAGCUAUAUCCAUUCAUUACUCAGUUUAUCUAUUUCUAUUAUUAUGAAAGAAUUGUUAUAUAACGUACUAUUUAUGUUCCACAUAUUUAGAGUUAUCUACUGUUGGGAUUCAUGCGAAGAACUUUGAUAUUCACAAAAUGCAGAUAUCUACAGAUCUAUAUGGGGUUCGACAGCAUAAGCUGGCUUUGAAAGUUGGUAAACAACUAUUAUACUUCAAGGUAUUUUAAACAACUAGUUGAUGAGUAUAAUGUCAUGAUAAGCACCAUAACUUUUGACUAUUUAGAUGUGUUCUCAAUUUUAUAUUAAUUCUUAUAGAUAAUAUUUGUUAUAUCUUUAGAAAAUGCUUGCUGUCCAUUAUAUAUGAUUAUUUUUCUAAUUCUCUUCAUGGUCUAGCUUGAGAUCCUAAUUCAAGAGAUGUCAAACGAGGCAUUUAUGGAUUGGCUAUGUGGAGCUGGUUCAGCUGAUGGCAUCGUCAGGAAGUUUAAAUGAUGUUGUUUAGCUAUUUUGUCCUGCUAGAGAAUUCCUAAAAAUUAAAACACCUUCCCUUCCACCUCCCCGGCUCUCUCUUUCUAAUUUAUAAGCUAUAAGUUUGUAGGUUUCUUGUUUACUUCCACCUCCCCGGCUCUGCCAUUACCUUUUACACACUGUGAGUUUAUAAUAUGACUUAAAUGAUUAUGGCAGUAAAAGGUA